This 465-nucleotide ribosomal RNA is filed under the name uncultured bacterium. RNAcentral's name for it is "partial 16S ribosomal RNA". It matches the Rfam family "Bacterial small subunit ribosomal RNA", at positions 28 to 507 of the family's 1533-position model. The record is from RNAcentral.
GACGAACGCUGGCGGCGUGCUUAACACAUGCAAGUCGAACGGAAAGGCCCCCUUGUGGGGUACUCGAGUGGCGAACGGGUGAGUAACACGUGAGUAACCUACCCUUGACUUUGGGAUAACUUCAGGAAACUGGGGCUAAUACCGGAUAGGAGCUCCUGCUGCAUGGUGGGGGUUGGAAAGUUUCGGCGGUUGGGGAUGGACUCGCGGCUUAUCAGCUUGUUGGUGGGGUAGUGGCUCACCAAGGCUUUGACGGGUAGCCGGCCUGAGAGGGUGACCGGCCACAUUGGGACUGAGAUACGGCCCAGACUCCUACGGGAGGCAGCAGUGGGGAAUAUUGCACAAUGGGCGGAAGCCUGAUGCAGCAACGCCGCGUGCGGGAUGACGGCCUUCGGGUCGUAAACCGCUUUCGCCUGUGACGAAGCGUGAGUGACGGUAAUGGGUAAAGAAGCACCGGCUAACUACGUG